UACGAAGGGGGCUAGCGUUGCUCGGAAUCACUGGGCGUAAAGCGCACGUAGGCGGAUUGUUAAGUCAGGGGUGAAAUCCUGGAGCUCAACUCCAGAACUGCCUUUGAUACUGGCUAUCUCGAGUCCGGGAGAGGUGAGUGGAACUGCGAGUGUAGAGGUGAAAUUCGUAGAUAUUCGCAAGAACACCAGUGGCGAAGGCGGCUCACUGGCCCGAUACUGACGCUGAGGCACGAAAGCGUGGGGAGCAAACAGG
RNAcentral lists this ribosomal RNA (253 nucleotides) under uncultured bacterium. RNAcentral's name for it is "partial 16S ribosomal RNA". It matches the Rfam family "Bacterial small subunit ribosomal RNA", at positions 524 to 776 of the family's 1533-position model. The record is from RNAcentral.